GCAGCUUUGACUUGUGCUGGGUGUAAGGUGCAUGCAGUUCUUUCAGAAAGCUCAGCCUUUGGAGCACAUUUGCAUAUAUCUAAGUGUGAAUGUAGAUGGACAGCAUGUAUUCUUCUUUUACAGUCAUUACAUACUGACAAGCCCAAAUAUGAUGAAAUCUUGAGUUUGCAAAUCACAUCGUCAUCAGAUUUGGCGAGAAAGUGAGAAAGUCUACAACUUAAGGAGGAAUCCCAUUGCCAAGCAAAAGACAACAACAAGUUUGAGGGUCGCAGGCAUGGUGGUGCCUAUCCCAGCUAUCUUUGGGCGAGAGGUGGAAUACACCCUGAACCUGAACUGGUCGCCAACCAAUCGAAGUAUACAAUCGACAAGAGGCUUUUGGAUCGCGAGCUGGACGGAGUUCGGCGGAGGGCUGGGUCGCCGCGCACUUGGAGGAAGAGCCCCGGUGACCAGCCAAACCAAGGCAGAUCCCAUGUUGCCGGUCUCAACCCACUGGCUAGCAUCACCACGGAUGAACCCAUGCAACUGGGCAGGUUCCGUCUCUCCCCUGAGGAACGUCAACGGCAGCUGAGGGAGGGGCGGUGCUUUUACUGCGGACAGUUGGGUCAUUCCGUGACCAACUGUCACGUCAAAGUUGCCGGUGCCGGUAGCAAGGGCACGGGAGAGGUGAGUCUGAAUUUCAUUAAGGAAGACCCUACACGGGUUCUUCCUAAAGUGACACUAUGCUCUCCUGAUCAAGAAAUUCAUACACCUGUAUUAAUUGACUCUGGUUCUGACGCAAACUUACUCAACUCCAUCCUCGUUAGACGUAUGACCUUAGAACCUUUGAAAUAAAACGCCACCUCAACACCUAUGCUGCAGACGGCAGUUUUAUGGGCAAGGUCACUCACCGCACCCAAACACUCACAUUGACAUUUCCUGAUUCUCACUCGGAACGCAUUAGUUUUCAUGUUUUUGACGCCAUGAAUCAUGACCUUAUCUUAGGGAACCCAUGGUUGAAAUUACAUAACGCCCACAUUGACUGGUCCUCUGGGCAGGUUAUGUCAUGGGGCAGCAAUUGCGCCCAGAACUGUUUCAAGCCUCCAUGCGAUGUCCAGGGCUAUGUUUCAAACGAAAAUCCACAGACCCCAUCUGGGGAUACUGACUUAUCUCAGGUGCCCACGUGUUACCAGGACAUUAAAGACGUUUUUUCCAAGUCCAAGGCCAAAUCUCUUCCACCCACAAACCUUAUGACUGUGCAGUUGACUUGCUGCCUGGAACCACACCUCCAUGAGGGAGGUUGUUCUCUUUCAGGGCCGGAACAGAAGGCUAUGAAGGAGUAUGUGGAUGAAUCACUGAGCACAACUGCAGGAGCCGGAUUUUUCUUUGUGGACAAGAAGGACAAGACUCUGCAACCCUGUAUCGAUUAUUGGCGUCUCAACGGCAUAACCGUGAAAAACAGCAGUUACUGCAGAAUGAACUAUAUGUCAAGGCUGAGAAAUGUGAGUUCCACAAGGCGUCUGAGAUGAAUUACAGCGGAGACUGAGAGCCAGGCCUUCUCAUCCAACAUCACUGUGUGACCUCUCAAAUACGCUUCUGGACGAACUGUCAAAAAUUCCCUACACACACUCCUAAACCUUGUGGAAAGCCUUUUCAGAAGAAUUAAAGCUGUUAUAUUGGUAAAGGGUGAGAUCAUAUUGAAGCCGAUUGAUUAAGAAGGGGAUGUCACUUCAGAUCAUAGACUGUAUGACUCAAGGCAGGUAAGCGAAUAUUUUUGUCAUAGUCCACCUGCACGCCGAAACACACACACACAAACACACGCACACACACUGAAUAUUCAUGGCUCAAUAGGGCCCUCUUGUGACAACCAAUACAGAUCAAAGUUGCGGAGUUCAUUUGGCUUGCGUGGCAAACUUUGUUUUAAAACUGCAACAUGGAACCUUAUUCCACAACAACCAUAGUUUUUCAUAUUCAUAUAUAUAUAAAAUAAGAUAAUGGCUCUUGUGUGUUACACAAUUUUCUCUUUAUUUGUAAUAAUACAGGACUGGAUUAUUACAGUUACAUUGAGAGGGGACCUGCUGCCGCUUAAACUUUGCUGGAGACUGCAUCGUUGUCACUUUUAUUUUCUAUCAACUAAUUGUGAAAGUGUACU
RNA transcript from Phyllopteryx taeniolatus (common seadragon), 2128 nucleotides. RefSeq lists it as uncharacterized. Lineage: Eukaryota; Metazoa; Chordata; Actinopteri; Syngnathiformes; Syngnathidae. The transcript has 5 exons. The record is from RefSeq and is a predicted model, not a curated record.